Molecule: ribosomal RNA, 257 nt
Filed under: uncultured bacterium
Lineage: Bacteria
Description: partial small subunit ribosomal RNA
Rfam family: Bacterial small subunit ribosomal RNA
Source: RNAcentral
AGGACGAACGCUGGCGGCGUGCUUAACACAUGCAAGUCGAGCGGUGAUCCUCCUUCGGGAGGUGAUCAGCGGCGAACGGGUGAGUAACACGUGGGCAACCUGCCCCCCACACUGGGAUAACCUCGGGAAACCGGGGCUAAUACCGGAUACGACCUCGAGCGGCAUCUCUUGAGGUGGAAAGCUCCGACGGUGAGGGAUGGGCCCGCGGCCUAUCAGCUUGUUGGUGGGGUAAUGGCCUACCAAGGCGACGACGGGUA